AGAUCGAACUAUAGAGUUUGAUCCUGGCUCAGAUUGAACGCUGGCGGCAUGCUUUACACAUGCAAGUCGAACGGUAACAGGUCUUCGGAUGCUGACGAGUGGCGAACGGGUGAGUAAUACAUCGGAACGUGCCUAGUAGUGGGGGAUAACUACUCGAAAGAGUAGCUAAUACCGCAUGAGAUCUACGGAUGAAAGCAGGGGACCUUCGGGCCUUGUGCUACUAGAGCGGCUGAUGGCAGAUUAGGUAGUUGGUGGGGUAAAAGCUUACCAAGCCUGCGAUCUGUAGCUGGUCUGAGAGGACGACCAGCCACACUGGGACUGAGACACGGCCCAGACUCCUACGGGAGGCAGCAGUGGGGAA
Molecule: ribosomal RNA, 361 nt
Filed under: Comamonas testosteroni
Lineage: Bacteria; Pseudomonadati; Pseudomonadota; Betaproteobacteria; Burkholderiales; Comamonadaceae
Description: bacterial SSU rRNA
Rfam family: Bacterial small subunit ribosomal RNA
Source: RNAcentral